GACGAACGCUGGCGGCGUGCUUAACACAUGCAAGUCGAACGGAAAGGCCCUGCUCUUGUGGGGUGCUCGAGUGGCGAACGGGUGAGUAUCACGUGAGUAACCUGCCCUUGACUUUGGGAUAACUUCAGGAAACUGGGGCUAAUACCGGAUAGGAGCUCCUGCUGCAUGGUGGGGGUUGGAAAGUUUCGGCGGUUGGGGAUGGACUCGCGGCUUAUCAGCUUGUUGGUGGGGUAGUGGCUUACCAAGGCUUUGACGGGUAGCCGGCCUGAGAGGGUGACCGGCCACAUUGGGACUGAGAUACGGCCCAGACUGCUACGGGAGGCAGCAGUGGGGAAUAUUGCACAAUGGGCGGAAGCCUGAUGCAGCAACGCCGCGUGCGGGAUGACGGCCUUCGGGUUGUAAACCGCUUUCGCCUGUGACGAAGCGUGAGUGACGGUAAUGUGUAAAGAAGGACCGGCUAACUACGUG
Molecule: ribosomal RNA, 468 nt
Filed under: uncultured bacterium
Lineage: Bacteria
Description: partial 16S ribosomal RNA
Rfam family: Bacterial small subunit ribosomal RNA
Source: RNAcentral